This 206-nucleotide unclassified non-coding RNA is filed under the name uncultured Russula. Its description in RNAcentral is "sequence contains ITS1". The record is from RNAcentral. Lineage: Eukaryota; Fungi; Basidiomycota; Agaricomycetes; Russulales; Russulaceae.
UCGUACCAUGGGGGUACCACGGCUGUCGCUGACCACUUAAAUGGUCGUGCACGCCCGAGUGCUCUCACAUACAAAUAUCCAUCUCACCCCUUUGUGCAUCACCGCGUGCGUUCCCUUUCCUCGGAGGGGGUCCUCACGUUUUUAACAUCAAACACCCAUUCGAACGUAGUGUAGAAUGUUCUUUGCGCCUGAGUGCGCGAUCAAUA